UACGUAGGGGGCAAGCGUUAUCCGGAUUUACUGGGUGUAAAGGGAGCGUAGACGGCGAUGCAAGUCUGAAGUGAAAGGCGGGGGCCUAACCCCCGGACUGCUUUGGAAACUGUAUAGCUGGAGUGCAGGAGAGGUAAGUGGAAUUCCUAGUGUAGCGGUGAAAUGCGUAGAUAUUCGGAGGAACACCGGUGGCGAAGGCGGCCAACUGGGCUUUAACUGACGCUGAGGCUCGAAAGUGUGGGGAGCAAACAGG
RNAcentral lists this ribosomal RNA (253 nucleotides) under uncultured Eubacteriales bacterium. Its description in RNAcentral is "uncultured Clostridiales bacterium partial 16S ribosomal RNA". It matches the Rfam family "Bacterial small subunit ribosomal RNA", at positions 524 to 776 of the family's 1533-position model. The record is from RNAcentral. Lineage: Bacteria; Bacillati; Bacillota; Clostridia; Eubacteriales.